GUGCGAAGGUAGCGCAAUCACUUGUCUUUUAAAUGAAGACCCGUAUGAAUGGCAUAACGAGGGCUUAGCUGUCUCCUCUUCCAAGUCAAUGAAAUUGAUCUUUCCGUGCAGAAGCGGGAAUUUAAACAUAAGACGAGAAGACCCUAUGGAGCUUUAGACACUAAGACAGCUUACGUUAAGCACCUCAAAAUAAAGAAAAAAACUAAACAAGCUCUGCCCUAUUGUCUUUGGUUGGGGCGACCGCGGGGAAUUAAAUAACCCCCACGUGGAGCGGGAGAACUCCUCCUACAGCUAAGAGCUACAGCUCUAAUAAACAGAAAUUCUGACCAGCAAGAUCCGGCAAUGCCGAUCAACGGACCGAGUUACCCUAGGGAUAACAGCGCAAUCCUCUUUUAGAGCCCAUAUCGACAAGGGGGUUUACGACCUCGAUGUUGGAUCAGGACAUCCUAAUGGUGCAGCCGCUAUUAAGGGUUCGUUUGUUCAACGAUUAAA
RNAcentral lists this ribosomal RNA (492 nucleotides) under Liparis florae (tidepool snailfish). RNAcentral's name for it is "partial 16S ribosomal RNA". It matches the Rfam family "Bacterial large subunit ribosomal RNA", at positions 1948 to 2592 of the family's 2925-position model. Lineage: Eukaryota; Metazoa; Chordata; Actinopteri; Perciformes; Liparidae. The record is from RNAcentral.